UCCGGUUGAUCCUGCCGGACCUGACUGCUAUCGGAUUGAUACUAAGCCAUGCGAGUCAUUGUAGCAAUACAAGGCAUACGGCUCAGUAACGCGUAGUCAACCUAACCUAUGGACGGGAAUAACCUCGGGAAACUGAGAAUAAUGCCCGAUAGAACACUAUACCUGGAAUGGUUUGUGUUCCAAAUGAUUUAUCGCCAUAGGAUGGGACUGCGGCCUAUCAGUUUGUUGGUGAGGUAAUGGCCCACCAAGACUAUUACAGGUACGGGCUCUGAGAGGAGUAGCCCGGAGAUGGGUACUGAGACACGGACCCAGGCCCUAUGGGGCGCAGCAGGCGAGAAAACUUUGCAAUGUGCGAAAGCACGACAAGGUUAAUCCGAGUGAUUUGUGCUAAACGAAUCUUUUGUUAGUCCUAGAAACACUAACGAAUAAGGGGUGGGCAAGUUCUGGUGUCAGCCGCCGCGGUAAAACCAGCACCUCAAGUGGUCAGGAUGAUUAUUGGGCCUAAAGCAUCCGUAGCCGGCUCUGUAAGUUUUCGGUUAAAUCUGUACGCUUAACGUACAGGCUGCCGGGAAUACUGCAGAGCUAGGGAGUGGGAGAGGUAGACGGUACUCGGUAGGAAGUGGUAAAAUGCUUUGAUCUAUCGAUGACCACCUGUGGCGAAGGCGGUCUACCAGAACACGUCCGACGGUGAGGGAUGAAAGCUGGGGGAGCAAACCGGAUUAGAUACCCGGGUAGUCCCAGCUGUAAACUAUGCAAACUCAGUGAUGCAUUGGCUUGUGGCCAAUGCAGUGCUGCAGGGAAGCCGUUAAGUUUGCCGCCUGGGAAGUACGUUCGCAAGUAUGAAACUUAAAGGAAUUGGCGGGGGAGCACCACAAGGGGUGAAGCCUGCGGUUCAAUUGGAUUCAACGCCGGA
RNAcentral lists this ribosomal RNA (913 nucleotides) under uncultured crenarchaeote. RNAcentral describes it as "bacterial SSU rRNA". It matches the Rfam family "Archaeal small subunit ribosomal RNA", at positions 1 to 922 of the family's 1478-position model. The record is from RNAcentral. Lineage: Archaea; Thermoproteati; Thermoproteota.